CAGCAGCCGCGGUAACACGAGGGGGGCAAGCGUUGUUCGGAAUUAUUGGGCGUAAAGGGUGCGUAGGCGGUUUGGCAAGUUUGGUGUGAAAUCUUCGGGCUCAACUCGAAGUCUGCAUCGAAAACUGCCGGGCUUGAGUAUGGGAGAGGUGAGUGGAAUAUCCAGUGUAGAGGUGAAAUUCGUAGAUAUUGGAUGGAACACCGGUGGCGAAAGCGGCUCUCUGGCCCGGAUCUGACGCUGAGGCGCGAAAGCGUGGGGAGCAAACAGGAUUAGAUACCCCCGUAGUCCCUGUCUCUUAUAC
Molecule: ribosomal RNA, 301 nt
Filed under: uncultured bacterium
Lineage: Bacteria
Description: partial 16S ribosomal RNA
Rfam family: Bacterial small subunit ribosomal RNA
Source: RNAcentral